CUGGGUUCCUGGGUUCCGGGCCAGCUGGAUUUGGAACCAGUCGAGGCAUAGGGCGCUCCCAGGCAGACUGAUAGUGGAUCUACACGGGCUCCUUGAGCUCCCCUGCCGCCCUCCCCCCCGCCCGUUCUUCCUCUCCUUGGUCGUAGGGUAUGGAAACCUCUUUUAAACCUUCCUUGGGUCUGGCAGUUGACCAAGAGCCUGGAAGUGGUGGCCGCCUCAGUACUCGAUCACACUGGUCCCACAAGCCUGGAGAAUUGGGAGGGGUGGGAGUGAUGGAGGUGGUGGGCGGCGGAGGUGCCUUGCAAAGGGGCCCAGACUACAGCUUUUGUUGGCUCUAAACUCCGGGAGCUGGAACCCAGGACUCCACUCUCCAGAUCCCGGUGGAAGUAGCGGCAGGGACUGUGGCGCGGAACCCAAGUACUCUCUGGGUCAGGAUCUCGGACACAGCAGUGCCCAAAGGUAAACCUCUAAUGGAAACUCUAACACGGCCCGGGAGCUCCCAUUUGGAGGAGAAGAUCUGAAGGCCCACUUGCUGCAGAACCCAGCACAGAAACAUGUCUGGUGUCUGGAAAGAAGAUUUGAGUUAGAAUGUGGCCUCCCUCACUUAGCAGAUACAUGAUGGUGCCAGGUUAUUUAACUUCCUAGAGCCUCAUCUUCCUCUGUAACAGAGAGAUAAUAACUUUUUCAUAAAUUUUGUGGAGAGAAUUAAACUGAUAUACUAUUUGCAUAAUUAGAGUGCUCAGCUAUAAACUAUUUUUUUGAGAUGUGGUCUUCGCUAAGUUGCCCAGUGUUAUGGCUUGUGUCUAGAUGUCUCCCCACAGCCUCAUGAGGUCAUAGGGGGGGCUUUUUGGAGGUGGCUGGAUCCAGCAUGUGAGAUAAUGGGGCCUCACAAUCCCUGACUUUAAAUUAUACUACAAAGCUAUGGUGUUAAAAACAGUGUGGUACUGGCAAAAGAACAGACCUGAGGAUCAAUGGAACAGAUUAGAGGAUGCAGAAACAAUUCCAGACACACUCAGCCACCUUAUCUUUGACAAAGGAGGCAAACACCUUCACUGGAAGAAAGAGAGCCUCUUUAAUAAAUGGUGCUGGAAAAACUGGUUUUCCACAUGUUGAAGAUUGAAACUAGACCCAUAUCUUUCACCAUGCACUAACCUCAAAUAGAAAUGGAUCAGGCAGGGGAUUUAGCUCAGUGGUUCUGCCACCUGCCUUGCAAGGGCAAGGUCCGAAGUUUGAUCCCCAGGAGAAAAAAAUAAAAUAAAAUAAAAAGAAAUGGAUUAAAUAUUAAAACAGAAACACUAAACCUGGUGGAAGAGAGAAUAGGUAGAAUGCUUGAAGACAUAGGAGUGGGCAAAGACUUCAUAAACAAAACACAGACUGCAUGAGAAAUACUACAAAGAAUCAACUACUGGGACCUCAUCUUAUUAAAAAUCUUUGCACAGCAAGAGAAACCACCAACAGAGCAAAGAGACAACCCACAAUGUGGGAAAAUUUUUUACCAGGUAUUCAGAUAAAGGACUAUUAUCUAGAAUAUAUAAAGAACUCAAAAAAAUCAGACCCCCCAAAUUUAAAGACCCAAUCCAAAAAUGCGGAUCUGAAAUGAAAAGACAUUUCUCAGAUGAAGAAUUAGAGAUGGCAAAUAAAUACAUGAAAAAAAAUUCAACAUCACUGGCCAUUUGAGAGAUGCAAAUUAAAACAAUACUGAGAUUCCAUCUCACUCUAGAAAGAAUGGCUGCUAUCAAGAAAUCAACCAAUAACAAAUGCUGGUGGGGCUGUGGGGAAAAAAGAACCCUUCUCCACUGUUGGUCGGAGUGUAGACUGCUGCAACCACUGUGGAAAUCAGUGUGGAGAUUCCUCAAAAAACUAAACUAAAACUAGAGGUUCCAUUUGACCCAGCUACACCUCUUCUUGAUCUUCCUGAAAGAAUUAAAAGGAUUAUGCCACAGUGAUAUAUGCAUACUCAUGUUUAUAGGCGCACAGUUUGUAAUAGCUAAAUCUUGGAAACAGCCCAAAUGCCCAUCAACUGACCAGUGGAUAAAGAAGAUGUGUUUUUUUUUAAUGCAAUGGAGUACUACUCUGCCAUAAAGAAGGAUGAGCUUCAGACAUUUAUUAGCUAAGUGGAUGGACUUUUUUUUUCUUUUUGGUACUGGGGAUCAAACUUGGGACCUUUUGCUUGUGAGGCAGGUGGUGGCACCACUGAGCUAAAUCCCCAGCCCUAUAUGGAUGGACCUUGAGACCAUACUCUUAAGUGAAAUAAAUUGGACACAUAUGUUUAAAUAGUGCAUUGUUUCUCUGGUGUGAGAAACUGAAUGUUGACAUAAGGACAGAGAUGUAUAAUGGAUGCUGGGAAAUGGGAAGAAAGUGUUCAAAUGGGAAAGGGGAACAAGGGAGGAGGGAGGGAGAAAGGAAGGAAGGGACAAGAAAAAAAGUGAAAAUAGAAGGAAAAAAUGGAAACAAAGCUUUUG
This 2462-nucleotide long non-coding RNA is filed under the name Heterocephalus glaber (naked mole-rat). Its description in RNAcentral is "lncRNA (ENSHGLG00000047961.1)". The record is from RNAcentral. Lineage: Eukaryota; Metazoa; Chordata; Mammalia; Rodentia; Bathyergidae.